Molecule: long non-coding RNA, 742 nt
Filed under: Brassica napus (rape)
Lineage: Eukaryota; Viridiplantae; Streptophyta; Magnoliopsida; Brassicales; Brassicaceae
Description: long non-coding RNA (BNAP_LNC025697)
Source: RNAcentral
UUAGAUACAACGGGCUACAUUGUAUUCUUUUUGCUGAGUAUAUAUUUCUAACUUCUAUAAACUCAAAUCCUAGAGCAUUUAAUGUGCAAACGAGGAAAGCCAAUAUAUGCACUUUCAUUAAUAACCAUACGUAUUAUAAAUAAGACUAAUGAAUCGGAAUCAUUGAUGUCUGCUGAGGCAUAAGAUUUUAAGACAAGUGCAGCCUCUGUUCUUUUUCUUGGAUCCAACCAGUGUAAGUUUUUUUUUGCUUUCUUUUGCUUGGAGAGUGUACUUUUCGUCGUUUAAUAAUAUAGGAUUUGAAACUUUUAGUCUGUAGACCGUGGUUUACCUGUUGGUUGCUCUGUGAGUCAGUCCACAACAAACUCUGCUCAGUUUCAUCUCUUCUUCUUACAUUUUUUCAGUCUCCAACUAUGAAGCUAAUGAAACACCACCCAAAACAAGAGAUUACCAUUUCAUCAAGAAACUAAAUCAAAACGUAGAUGGAACCUUCUUAGAGAAACAUAGAGAAAAUCAAGACAAGAGAUUUACUGAUGUAACAAGAUCUUUAUAUUUUUCUUCUUCUUCAUCAUAUAUUGCUGGAUGUGGAAAUGUGAAAAUCAAAGAAUGAAGCAGUUUCAUAUAUAUAUAUAUAUAUAUAUAACCAGACCUACUGUACUAAACAAAAUCAGAAACUGUGACCAUAUGUUUCUAUAUAGAGGUUUGGGUUGAGCUUGAAUGUGAAACUUCAGGGACUGACAACAAG